CUGAAACGCCUUCCUGUUUCACUGAAAUGCCUUCCUGUUCAACUGAAACGCCUUCCUGUUCAACUGAAAUGCCUUGGUUUUUCAGUAGUGUGUGUGAGAGCGUUUCAGUAGUGUGUGUGAGAGGUAAAAUUUCAGUAGUGUGUGUGAGAGCAUUUCAGUAGUGUGUGUGAGAGGUAAAAUUUCAGUAGUGUGUGUGAGAGCGUUUCAGUUGUGUGUGUGAGAGCGUUUCAGUUGUGUGUGUGAGAGCGUUUCAGUAGUGUGUGUGAGAGCGUUUCAGUAGUUAGUGUGUGUGAGAGCGUUUCAGUUGUGUGUGUGAGAGCGUUUCAGUUGUGUGUGUGAGAGCGUUUCAGUAGUGUGUGUGAGAGCGUUUCAGUAGUGUGUGUGAGAGGUAAAAUUUCAGUAGUGUGUGUGAGAGCGUUUCAGUAGUGUGUGUGAGAGCGUUUCAGUAGUGUGUGUGAGAG
This is a long non-coding RNA of Oreochromis aureus, 461 nucleotides long. The record is from Ensembl. Lineage: Eukaryota; Metazoa; Chordata; Actinopteri; Cichliformes; Cichlidae.